GACGAACGCUGGCGGCGUGCUUAACACAUGCAAGUCGAACGGAAAGGCCCCUUUGGGGGUCCUCGAGUGGCGAACGGGUGAGUAACACGUGAGUAACCUGCCCUUGACUUCGGGAUAACUUCAGGAAACUGGGGCUAAUACCGGAUAGGAAUCCUUGCUGCAUGGUGGGGGUUGGAAAGCUUCGGCGGUUUUGGAUGGACUCGCGGCUUAUCAGCUUGUUGGUGGGGUAGUGGCUUACCAAGGCUUUGACGGGUAGCCGGCCUGAGAGGGCGACCGGCCACAUUGGGACUGAGAUACGGCCCAGACUCCGACGGGAGGCAGCAGUGGGGAAUAUUGCACAAUGGGCGGAAGCCUGAUGCAGAAACGCCGCGUGCGGGAUGACGGCCUUCGGGUUGAAAACCGCUUUCAGCAGGGGCGAAGCUUGUGGUGACGGUACCUGCAGAAGAAGCACCGGCUAACUACGUG
This 465-nucleotide ribosomal RNA is filed under the name uncultured bacterium. Its description in RNAcentral is "partial 16S ribosomal RNA". It matches the Rfam family "Bacterial small subunit ribosomal RNA", at positions 28 to 507 of the family's 1533-position model. The record is from RNAcentral.